UAGGCGCAGGUUUCGGAUAUUUUUUUCAGAUCAAUAACUGGUCGUUUUUAGUCAGAAGAAUAUAAUUUCUUACUUGACUCUCCGCUCAAAAACUUAAAUAAAAUUCUACGUAGAUAAUCAUAAAAUUCAUAUCCUCACCGUCGUGUGGCACUUAGUCUGCAAUGCCAACUAUCCCACGGACGCAACGAUCCGAUAUGGAGGCUUUCUGGUUGAUCCUGAUGACCCCUAUUCGCUAUUUCAAUCCGACUCCGACUUUCUGGCUAUCUUUCGCAGUACGGAUAUCGGUGUCUGUAAAACACUAAAAAUUAAGGGAAUGCACGAAUUCGAAUGCGUCGGUAGAAAUGACAAUACAUGGAUAAUCACAAUGGAAUACAGUCAUCUGAUUUGUCUCAACUAUACCUUCGGAUUGGUGAACGAGCUGGCCGAACAUUGUACAGGCUCAAAAUUGGGUCCAAACAGAUCUUCGGCCUUGUACUACGCCAAUAUAGAGUUGGUUUUGAAACAUAUCGUAUCGGUUCUAAACUGUGGUUUGGCGCCUAGCUCAAAUAUUCUAGUAUUAAUUGUUUCGUUCAUCUUUCUGAUACUUGUAGUUUCACAUUGGCACUAAGAAUGAAAUAAAUUUCCCCCUUUUUAAAUGCCCCAUGAAAUGUA
Molecule: RNA transcript, 651 nt
Organism: Drosophila miranda
Lineage: Eukaryota; Metazoa; Arthropoda; Insecta; Diptera; Drosophilidae
Exons: 2
Source: RefSeq, a predicted model, not a curated record